This 2057-nucleotide long non-coding RNA is filed under the name Cairina moschata (Muscovy duck). Its description in RNAcentral is "domestica (muscovy Duck (domestic type)) lncRNA (ENSCMMG00000006822.1)". Lineage: Eukaryota; Metazoa; Chordata; Aves; Anseriformes; Anatidae. The record is from RNAcentral.
AUGGUUUUGUUUGUGUUAUUUUUUUUUUUCCUUCUUUUUGUUCUUUUCUUGCUUUUGUUUUUGAGAAAUAUGUCAAAGAAAGGUACGGACAGCAAAGGGCUUCCCACGCCAGCGCCCGGCCAGCCCUGGGGCUGGGUCUUGUCCCAGUUUGUUCACACGUGCUGCAGGAAUGCUCCCCGUGCGCCGCUCAGGGGCUGUGGGUCCCCCUGUGGGACCUCCCAGAGCCCGCCAGUGCCCGCAGCCGGCCGAAUCCUGCUCCCCACAGCACCUGCCCCGCAGGGGACAGCACUUGCCCAGAGCUGGAGCUGCUUCCCUUUGCAUAUUCACCUUCUUUGUGGAUUUGUAGGCUCGCCGUUUGUACCCAACACUCGUUAUUAAGUCUAAAGGGAAAAGCAACCCCAACGGAAGCCACCCGCUGCGUCCCUGCUCUGGCUCACAGGAGACCCGGGAGGAAGACGCAGCAGUGAGGGACAGUGAACGGACAUGGCAGCAGUUUAGACACGGUUUAAUAGCUCAGACCUGCUUUUUGUCUUCCCUCCUCGCUUUUUCAGUCCCUCUGCCCACCACGCCAAGAAAGAAACCACUUUCAGGAAGGCUGGAAGUCGGAUGGUUCCAGGACAGGAGUCACCAGCAGCCACAAACGGGACACAGAGCAGCUUGUGAAAGGCUUCGGGGCUUCGGCAUCACGUCUGCCCCUUCCGAGGCCGCCCGGCUGCCGCUGCUCGCUUUCAGGCUCAUCGCUGCUCUCCGUGGAAAGCUGCCGUUCUGCUUGCACUGCUUGUGAAGCCCCUGGGCUGGGUUCAGCAGCGCAGUGAUCGCAUGGCCCAGGGGGCACUGCAGGAGGACAAGGUCAGGAAAUUUCCCAGUCAGGACCAGGCGCGAGCGGUGCCACGGGGCUGGUCCCAGCUGCCCCCUGCCUGGCGGUGCCGGCGAUGCCGUGAGUCAAAGCCUUCAGUGACUGAGAUCUCAAAUAGCAAACCGUAACGGAGACGCAUGAAGUGCUGAUUUAGGGUCAGAGGAGAGGGGAGAGAGCAGGUUAACCUGCAAGGUCUUGCUGGCGGAUAGCACUAGUGGUUCCGGCCGCUCACCUGGUGCUCUGGGAUGUUGGUGAGUAAAAUGAGAUCGAACUGGCGUCAGAGAUGAUCAAAGGGUAUUUAUGGUGGUAGUGAUAUUUACUUAUGUAAAAAGAAUCUGCCGAGAAGCCAAAUGGUUUUCAGUGGUGUUUUACUCUCAGGACAUUUAAAGCCAGUUUCAGGCUUUGUUUUUAUCUCUGGCGUGAUUGUAAAAAUCCCUUUCUAAGAGCUUAGAAAUCUGCAAAGACAACGUAACCUCUGCUGCUCCGACAAGCCUAAGGAUUGGCAAAGAAGUACGGAAAAUAUGUCAUUAGCUUUGGGAAACAGCCACGUUCCCCAAUCCGUCCUCUGCUGUAGGUGUUUGGUCAGCAAACUGUGAAGAUGAUGAUGCACGUUGAGUUGGCAGCUUUCAACUCUGAUUUUUCAUGGUUCCUAUGAAAAGGUGAAAAUAAAUGUAAAUCCUUUGCAUAUCUUUACGUGAAUCACAAUAUGACAAAUCCAGCUUUUUUUGUUUUGGGUCACUGUGUUUGUUCUUUACAUCAUGAAAAGACGACAUAAGGACAAAUUGUGGUCUGUGAUGGGGGGGAAAAAGCAGAGAUCUCCCCUUCAGCUCAUUUGCUAAUUCUGAUCAGCUCCAAAGAUAGCCUUCAAAUAACUGAGACUGAGAAGGAAACAGGUGGGAAAAACCCCUGAACUGGGCUGCAGGCAGGUUUGUCCCUUGGGGCCCAGACAAACCCUGCAGAAAGCCUUGUGGCUCGGGGCGUGGGGGUGUCCAGCAGCAGGGCGCUGUCACGUCUGCCAGGGAAGGAGGUUGCUCUUCUCAUCAACGCCCAUGUUUGAAGCAGAGCUUUUAAGCACCUUGCAGUACUCCUCAGGACGAUCUGGGUUUCCACGGGCAGGGCUGUUUCUGUUGGUUUUGUUUUGCAGAGGGCUGGGGAGAAAUUAAUCCGCAGAGGGACGAAGCGGCGCGGCGGCACUCGAGCC